This 447-nucleotide ribosomal RNA is filed under the name uncultured bacterium. Its description in RNAcentral is "bacterial SSU rRNA". It matches the Rfam family "Bacterial small subunit ribosomal RNA", at positions 29 to 521 of the family's 1533-position model. The record is from RNAcentral.
AACGAACGCUGGCGGCAGGCCUAACACAUGCAAGUCGAACGCUCGUAGCAAUACGGGAGUGGCAGACGGGUGCGUAACGCGUGGGAACAUACCCUUUGGUUCGGAAUAACUCAGGGAAACUUGAGCUAAUACCGGAUACGCCCGAGAGGGGAAAGAUUUAUUGCCGAAGGAUUGGCCCGCGUCUGAUUAGCUAGUUGGUGAGGUAACGGCUCACCAAGGCGACGAUCAGUAGCUGGUCUGAGAGGAUGAUCAGCCACACUGGGACUGAGACACGGCCCAGACUCCUACGGGAGGCAGCAGUGGGGAAUAUUGGACAAUGGGCGCAAGCCUGAUCCAGCCAUGCCGCGUGAGUGAUGACGGCCUUAGGGUUGUAAAGCUCUUUACCCGGGAAGAGUAAUGACGGUACCGGAGAAUAAGCCCGGCUAACUUCGUGCCAGCAGCCGCGGU